UACAGAGGGUGCGAGCGUUAAUCGGAAUUACUGGGCGUAAAGCGCGCGUAGGCGGCUUUGCAAGUCGAUUGUGAAAUCCCCGGGCUUAACCUGGGAACUGCAUUCGAGACUGCAUUGCUAGAGUAUGGGAGAGGGAAGUGGAAUUUCCGGUGUAGCGGUGAAAUGCGUAGAUAUCGGAAGGAACAUCAGUGGCGAAAGCGACUUCCUGGACCAAUACUGACGCUCAUGUGCGAAAGCGUGGGGAGCAAACAGG
Molecule: ribosomal RNA, 253 nt
Filed under: uncultured bacterium
Lineage: Bacteria
Description: partial 16S ribosomal RNA
Rfam family: Bacterial small subunit ribosomal RNA
Source: RNAcentral